This 250-nucleotide long non-coding RNA is filed under the name Elaeis guineensis (African oil palm). RNAcentral describes it as "long non-coding RNA (EGUI_LNC060545)". The record is from RNAcentral. Lineage: Eukaryota; Viridiplantae; Streptophyta; Magnoliopsida; Arecales; Arecaceae.
CAGCAGCCACAGCAGUCGCAGGCAUUAGUGUGGCUGGAAAGAGCAUCGUCGGAGUUUCAGAAUCUGACGACCGGGUGGGCCACUUGGGCAAGUCGCCCUGUCUUCCCCAGAAAGGGGAAGCAGAAGGCGGAGAGCCCACCAUCCGAUCAUGAUUCCUCCCCCAGAGAGUCCCUACCUCCGUUCCACCAGAAGACCUUCGAGACUCGCAGUCGAGAGGACCUCCUGGAUCAAAGAUUCUGGGAGAUGAACC